Dreissena polymorpha is the source of this 649-nucleotide long non-coding RNA. RefSeq lists it as uncharacterized. NCBI's taxonomy places the organism in Eukaryota, Metazoa, Mollusca, Bivalvia, Myida, Dreissenidae. The record is from RefSeq and is a predicted model, not a curated record. The transcript is spliced from 2 exons.
AAAAUAUUCAUCAUGAAUCUAACACACACGAAGAACAUUCAGAUUUUACAUCAAAAGUAUGGCCGAAUACAUCCGCUAUAAUUGCUGCAAUCAAAAUGCCUCCUCCAAAGCCACUGAAACGUCAAAUACCAGAACGAAUUGCUUUUUGUGCCGGGCAAUCUGCACAUCAUGUGGACAAUUUAGACGUACACCAAACGAUCCUGUUCGACGAGGUCUUUUCCAAUGUCGGCAAUGCAUACAAUCCUAAUUCAGGAGUAUUUCGGGUUUCCGUUUCCGGGUAUUACGUAAUGUCGCUGGUGUAUAAUGCAGGAGUUAAGACAGGAGGUAUAACCGAUCGGUAUUUGGAGGUGGUAUCAAACGGAGUGAAACUGGGUGACGUGAUAGUUGAUUCGAGCUCUUCGCCAUUAGCGUCGGCUACAAAGGUAUGGGUCUUUCAUCUCCAAAGAGGCACCGAUGUUUGGGUAAGAACUACAACAUUUGGAAUAAGCCCCAACGAUGUCCAUGGACACUCGCAUACCAUGCUGACAGGCUGGCUUCUUUACGAUGACUGAGCUGAUACAUUUGUAAAACUUAAUAGAUGCAAAUAAAAAAAGGUUUAUCUAAAGGGACCGUCAACCAGAUUGACAAAAAAAGAAAAGUUAUAAAAUAC